RNAcentral lists this non-coding RNA (25 nucleotides) under Mus musculus (house mouse). Lineage: Eukaryota; Metazoa; Chordata; Mammalia; Rodentia; Muridae. The record is from RNAcentral.
UGUGACUCUUCAGGGAUAUCCCAAG